UUGGAGGGCAAGUCUGGUGCCAGCAGCCGCGGUAAUUCCAGCUCCAAUAGCGUAUAUUAAAGUUGUUGUGGUUAAAAAGCUCGUAGUUGAACCUUGGGCCUGGCUGGCCGGUCCGCCUCACCGCGUGUACUGGUCCGGCCGGGCCUUUCCCUCUGUGGAACCCCAUGCCCUUCACUGGGUGUGGCGGGGAAACAGGACUUUUACUGUGAAAAAAUUAGAGUGCUCCAGGCAGGCCUAUGCUCGAAUACAUUAGCAUGGAAUAAUAGAAUAGGACGUGUGGUUCUAUUUUGUUGGUUUCUAGGACCGCCGUAAUGAUUAAUAGGGACAGUCGGGGGCAUCAGUAUUCAAUUGUCAGAGGUGAAAUUCUUGGAUUUAUUGAAGACUAACUACUGCGAAAGCAUUUGCCAAGGAUGUUUUCAUUAAUCAGGAACGAAAGUUAGGGGAUCGAAGACCAUCAGAUACCGUCGUAGUCUUAACCAUAAACUAUGCCGACUAGGGAUCGGACGGUGUUAUUUUUUGACCCGUUCGGCGCCUUACGGGAAAC
Molecule: ribosomal RNA, 544 nt
Filed under: uncultured Ascomycota
Lineage: Eukaryota; Fungi; Ascomycota
Description: SSU rRNA
Rfam family: Eukaryotic small subunit ribosomal RNA
Source: RNAcentral